Long non-coding RNA from Arabidopsis thaliana (thale cress), 251 nucleotides. RefSeq annotates it as other RNA. The transcript has a single exon. The record is from RefSeq. Lineage: Eukaryota; Viridiplantae; Streptophyta; Magnoliopsida; Brassicales; Brassicaceae.
UUCAAGAAUCUUCUUUUCCCCUUCCUCUGCUUUACAAACCGGUAAAACUACCACCGAGGUCGCUUCUGCUACUUCUCCAAACUUAAGCCUCACCACUGGAAUCCGAAUAGCUUUGACUUCCUCUUCCUUCUUCUUCUUCUCCUUCUCCUUCUCUGCUUCCUUGUCCCCGUAUAGCUCUGUGUUCAACCUGUUCUUAGCCUUUUCUGAUUCUGCAACCCCCAAUGCUUGUAGAAGCAUCGAGGUUCUCUGAU